Molecule: long non-coding RNA, 1426 nt
Organism: Capsicum annuum
Lineage: Eukaryota; Viridiplantae; Streptophyta; Magnoliopsida; Solanales; Solanaceae
Exons: 2
Source: RefSeq, a predicted model, not a curated record
UGACCUCACCUCAUUCACGUUUCUUUUUCUUUGACAUUUGUUUUGGGAUAUAGGAGGACAUAUACAGAAAAACAAAAAAGAGGGGACCUCAAUUCCAUCCAAAAGAAUACACACUCACGGGCCCACAGAAGAGGCCUUUUUGCUUCUUCUUUCUUUCCCAAAUUGAAAAGGAUAUAUACAGCACUAUAUAGACGCACAAAAAAGGGCCUCCAUUUUUUCUUUUUUCAUCUAGAUGCUGCAUACACAGCAAACACUGAUCAUUUUCAUUCUCUUGUACAAUUAAACACAUACCCACAUAUAUACACUACACGAGAGAGAAAACCAAGAAGGGAGGCCUCCAUUUUGUUUCUUCUGCGCCAGAGAAAACCAAAAAAAAUAGAGGCUCCAUUCUCCCUUUUCAUAAUCAAAACACACACAUACACCACUACACGCGGAGAUGGAGGGAGAUUAUUGAGAGAUCAAAUAGUGAGAUUGAGCGAGGGAGAUGAGAGAGAGAGCAAGAUUGAGAGCAAACAGUGAAAAAGGGGAGCAAAUCGGGGAAAACCAGCGAGAACGACCAUUGUUUUAUACUAUUUCGUCACUGUUGAAGCUCGACGUAGCUCGUAGGUCGACCAACAAUACCAAACACACACAUACACGAUUAGGAAAGUGGGUUUGGGUCCUGUGAUUUUCAAAUCUGGUCCGGGUUGGCGAAAACACAACAAAAAGGGACCAAAGUUGAUGAUUUGGGUUCGUGAUUGAUAUUCGAUGUUGAGGUUCCAUUGGAGGCGGUUCUAUUCAAAAAGAUCAGUUAAUCAAUAAAGCAUUGAGGUCCACUUCUCAUCUCAUUCUCUAUUCUAUUUUUGGAAUUUUAGUUGUAUGUUAUGGGUGUGAAUAACUUGUUUGUUAUGGGUCCAUUUUAGUUUUUUGGAAUUUCUCGAAAAGAGUUGUUUGUAUUUGAAUCUUUGUUAUGUGUAUGUGGUUGAUGUUGGAUUUGAUAUCGAAGAAUUGGUUAAUUAGUUUGACUAUAGAAUUGGGAAAGACGAGAAUUGAAAGUUGAUAAAAAUGAAUAUCGUUGUUUUUUAUUCAUUGUUGAUGUUGAACGUGAUAUGUCAUCGAGCGGGUAGGCAAACAGUAGGCUUGGGUAGGCAAAUUUAGAAUUGUUGGAUUGUUGGAAUGCUUGGAAUAUUUGUUGAAUGUUUUGUUUAUCGUAUUUGAAAAGCGUAUUCAUUUAGCCGGGGAAUGCCUCGAGGUCAUUUGUAUUUACUCACCGGGGAAUGCCCCAAAGAAUUUUGUACGCGAAGGAUGUUCGUGAUCAAGGCCCGUGGCAUCGGGUAAAACAUAGUUUAGUACUAGUGUAGGUUAUUUCAGUAUUUUUUAUUUCGAUUUGUAAUAAAUUGGACUGGAUGUUAAAUUUUGGAUUGUUUUGUUUUGUUUGCUUUCUUGA